This 450-nucleotide ribosomal RNA is filed under the name uncultured organism. RNAcentral describes it as "bacterial SSU rRNA". It matches the Rfam family "Bacterial small subunit ribosomal RNA", at positions 346 to 789 of the family's 1533-position model. The record is from RNAcentral.
GCGCACCAGUCGAGAAUUUUUCUCAAUGGGCGAAAGCCUGAAGGAGCGACGCCGCGUGGAGGAUGAAGGCCUUCGGGUUGUAAACUCCUGUCAUUUGAGAACAAGCGUCGGCAAGUAACUACUGCCGACUUGAUAGUAUCAGAAGAGGAAGGGACGGCUAACUCUGUGCCAGCAGCCGCGGUAAUACAGAGGUCCCAAGCGUUGUUCGGAUUCAUUGGGCGUAAAGGGUGCGUAGGUGGCGCCAUAAGUCAGGUGUGAAAUUUCGGAGCUUAACUCCGAAACUGCAUUUGAUACUGUGGUGCUUGAGGACUGGAGAGGAGACUGGAAUUUACGGUGUAGCAGUGAAAUGCGUAGAGAUCGUAAGGAAGACCAGUGGCGAAGGCGGGUCUCUGGACAGUUCCUGACACUGAGGCACGAAGGCCAGGGGAGCAAACGGGAUUAGAUACCCCU